AUGAAAGAACUGGCUCACUUCAGGACUGAUCUCAGACAGUAUGGAUUAAAACACGCAAAACUCCUAGCACAUAACUCUUUCUCUUGCUGUCUCCACUCUUUUCUCUCUCUUCCUCUCUCUCUUUUCUCUUUCAUUCUCUAUCUGUUUCUGCUCUCUCUUCCUCUGUCUCCUCUCUCUCUUUCUCUCGUUCUCUCUCUUGCUGUUUCUGCACUUUCUCUUUUUCUCUCUUGUUGUCUCUGUUUCAGCUCUUUUCUUUCUCCCUCUGUCUCCUCUCUUUCUGUUUCUGCUUUUUCUUUCUAUCCCUCUCCCUCUAUCCCUUCUCUGUCGCUCUCAUUCUCUCUGCUGUCUCCCUCUUGCUGUUUCUGCUCUCUCUCUCUGUCUCCACUCUCAUUCUCUCGCUCUCUCUCUCUCUCUCUCUCUCUCUCUCCCUAUCACUGUUUCUGCUCUCUCUCUCUCUCUCCCUAUCACUGUUUCUGCUCUCUCUCUCUCUCUCCCUAUCACUGUUUCUGUUCUCUCUCUCUCUCUGUCUCUCCCUAUCACUGUUUCUGCUCUCUCUCUCUCUCUCUCUCUCUCUCUCUCUCUCUCUCUCUCUCUCUCGCUCCCUAUCACUGUUUCUGCUCUCUCUCUCUCCCUAUCACUGUUUCUGCUCUCUCUCUCUCUCUCGCUCUCUGUCUCUCCCUAUCACUGUUUCUGCUCUCUCUCUCUCUCUCUCUCUCUCUCUCUCUCUCUCUCUCUCUCUCUCGCUCCCUAUCACUGUUUCUGCUCUCUCUCUCUCCCUAUCACUGUUUCUGCUCUCUCUCUCUCUCUCUCUCUCGCUCUCUGUCUCUCCCUAUCACUGUUUCUGCUCUCUCUCUCUCUCUCUCUCUCUCUCUCUCUCUCUGUCUCCAUUCUCAUUCUCUCGCUCUCUCGCUCUCUCUCUGUGUCUCUGUCUCUCUCUCUCUCUCUCUCUCUCUCCACUCUCAUUCUCUCGCUCUCUCGCUCUCUCUCUCUGUCUCUCUCUCUCUCUCUCUCUCUCUCUCUCUCUCUCUCUCUCUCUCACAUACAUUACAGAGUCCUACUGAAGGUUACGGUGUAGUAACAGGUACAUGCAAUACCACCGUUCUGCUUCACCUUCUUUUAUCAAACCAUACAAUACUCUCUUUAUCUCUCAUUCUCUUCUCAUCUCUCUCUUUGCUCCAAAGAGAGACUGAUGAGUCAGACUGA
This 1203-nucleotide long non-coding RNA is filed under the name Oncorhynchus mykiss (rainbow trout). Its description in RNAcentral is "lncRNA (ENSOMYG00000075720.1)". The record is from RNAcentral. Lineage: Eukaryota; Metazoa; Chordata; Actinopteri; Salmoniformes; Salmonidae.